Molecule: long non-coding RNA, 1729 nt
Organism: Oryctolagus cuniculus (rabbit)
Lineage: Eukaryota; Metazoa; Chordata; Mammalia; Lagomorpha; Leporidae
Source: Ensembl
CAAAUAAUUUAUGACAAGUAGAGAUUUGUCUGGUAAGGAAAGAGUGUGGGGCUCCAUGGGAUGCACAGCCAUGGAGCCCCCACAUCAAGGUCGGUCUGAUAGCUGUUUCUGUGUCUUUAUCACAAGGCGGAUGUUACUAGUUUCAGUUAGGGCAAUGCUUUCUCACGGUCAGGACUUUCCAGAGGCGUUGAGAAUGUUGUAAACAACAAGAUGGUGCUGAGGACCGUGCAGUGAGCCUGCCUGCUGUAUGACACCUCAUCUGAUUGGCCCAAGGACGCAUGCACACUGUGUGAACAGACAGCGGAUUGGAGUGUUCCGUGCAUGGACUUGAGCCCGCUUGCAAUUGGCCAGAUUUUGUAUAUAAGCUGUGUGCUGAGGAAGGAGGGGGCUUUUCUGUCCACUCUCCUCCCUUCAUUCUUUCUCUGUCACUGUUAUUUUCUUAUUAAAAGUCUACUGAAGACCGAUAAGCUGCAAACAGUGUCGUUCCUUUGCGGGCAAGGGAGCGACAAGUGGUGCCAUGACUUGGAUUCGGACCACUUUGCUACACGCAGGAAUAGGUAAGGAACAAAAGACAACUAACCAUUUUACAGAUAUAGCCAAAGAUGGCGGCCUCAGCGAACAUGGCUCACUUACUGCUGCAAAACAUUUUGGACUUGGGAUUCCAUACUUCUUGAUGAUGUCCACAGACUCUUCUUCCUACUUUAUCUCGAUAUUUGAAUCUGGGACUAUUUUCCGGGAAGACUACCACAGAGCUUUUGAAGGGCACAAAGAAAAGCGGCUUCUACAGUUCGGCGACCUCCUUGUUUCGCUUCACAGCUUCCUUGUUUCAGCCUCGGCAGCUUCCUUGCUCUGGGUCACAGCCUCCUUAUUCACCUGGAUAACUUCUGGAUCUGGGACUAUUUUCCGGGAAGACUACCACAGAGCUUUUGAAAGUCACAAAGAAAAGCGGCUUCUACAGUUCGGCGACCUCCUUGUUUCGCUUCACAGCUUCCUUGCUUCAGCCUCGGCAGCUUCCUUGCUCUGGGUCACAGCCUCCUUAUUCACCUGGAUAACUUCUGGAUCUGGGACUAUUUUCCAGGCACAAAGAAAAGCAGCCUCUACAGUUCGUGUAAGUCUUCACGUUGUUACCGUUCGUGGCCUCCUCUUCUGCCUUCAUCUUAACCUUUGAAUUUGGGACUGGUUACCGCGAAAACUUCGCCUUGUGCUUAAUGACACAGGUUCUGUAGCUCCAACCGGACUCUGGAUGGGGGACUUGGAUCUUGGUGAUCCUGAAUAGCUAUGCAUGGUCAACACAAAAGCCACCAUUUACCAAAUACCAAAGACUUUACUGCGCAAAGGUAAAGGUGCUCUGUUCAACUCGCUAGACAGAGAUGGAGCUGUUGCAUCAUAUUUUCUCCCACUACCUUUUGCAACUUUUGCAAAUUGCCAAUAGGCUAACCUCACAGAAACUCCCGGGCUGGACCUCAACCAGGGUCAGACUCCCCUGCGGCUUGCUUCACGAUUCCUUCAACAGGACAGAAACAGCCAUUUCUGAUCCUUUCUUACUAAUGGAAUAAUGGGGGCAAAGAAGACCCCAGGCUCCUGUGGACUUUUUAAACAAUGAACUCUUUAAUGGACAGUGAACUCUAUUCACAGGUGCCCCUUACCCCGGGCGCCCAUCACUCCCCUCCCCUUCCUCAUCCUCUUUCAACUAAAUAAAUUUUUAAAAUGAAUAAAUUUGUAUUCUUAU